AAGGAUCAUUAUCGAGGUCAAUGCCCAUUGGGUAUCCUCUCACACAUGAAUACGCAAACCGUUUCUUCGGCAGGACGUCUUUCGGGACCGCUGACUCUUACGAGGGAGCGCGAGCCUGCCGGAGGUCUCACUCUUUUAUUUUGGAGUCUGAGCCAAACAAAAUCAAACAAAACUUUCAACAACGGAUCUCUUGGUUCUG
This 199-nucleotide unclassified non-coding RNA is filed under the name uncultured fungus. RNAcentral describes it as "partial contains 18S rRNA, ITS1, 5.8S rRNA, ITS2 and 28S rRNA". The record is from RNAcentral. Lineage: Eukaryota; Fungi.